GUGGGGAAUAUUCGACAAUGGGGGGAACCCUGAUCCAGCCAUGCCGCGUGUGUGAAGAAGGCCUUUUGGUUGUAAAGCACUUUAAGCGAGGAGGAGGCUACCGAGAUUAAUACUCUUGGAUAGUGGACGUUACUCGCAGAAUAAGCACCGGCUAACUCUGUGCCAGCAGCCGCGGUAAUACAGAGGGUGCAAGCGUUAAUCGGAUUUACUGGGCGUAAAGCGCGCGUAGGUGGCCAAUUAAGUCAAAUGUGAAAUCCCCGAGCUUAACUUGGGAAUUGCAUUCGAUACUGGUUGGCUAGAGUAUGGGAGAGGAUGGUAGAAUUCCAGGUGUAGCGGUGAAAUGCGUAGAGAUCUGGAGGAAUACCGAUGGCGAAGGCAGCCAUCUGGCCUAAUACUGACACUGAGGUGCGAAAGCAUGGGGAGCAAACAGGAUUAGAAACCCGGGUAGUCC
RNAcentral lists this ribosomal RNA (451 nucleotides) under uncultured bacterium. RNAcentral's name for it is "partial 16S ribosomal RNA". It matches the Rfam family "Bacterial small subunit ribosomal RNA", at positions 354 to 796 of the family's 1533-position model. The record is from RNAcentral.